UCCAGACUCCUACGGGAGGCAGCAGUGGGGGAUAUUGCACAAUGGGGGGAACCCUGAUGCAGCGACGCCGCGUGGGUGAAGGAGCGUUUCGGCGCGUAAAGCCCUCUCGGCAGGGAAGAAGGAGGACGGUACCUGACUAAGAAGCCCCGGCUAACUACGUGCCAGCAGCCGCGGUAAUACGUAGGGGGCAAGCGUUAUCCGGAUUUACUGGGUGUAAAGGGGGCGCAGACGGCAGCGCAAGCCAGGAGUGAAAGCCCGGGGCCCAACCCCGGGACUGCUCUUGGAACUGCGCGGCUGGAGUGCAGGAGGGGCAGGCGGAAUUCCUGGUGUAGCGGUGAAAUGCGUAGAUAUCAGGAGGAACACCGGUGGCGAAGGCGGCCUGCUGGACUGCGACUGACGUUGAGGCCCGAAAGCGUGGGGAGCAAACAGGAUUAGAUACCCGAGUAAG
RNAcentral lists this ribosomal RNA (448 nucleotides) under uncultured bacterium. Its description in RNAcentral is "bacterial SSU rRNA". It matches the Rfam family "Bacterial small subunit ribosomal RNA", at positions 330 to 793 of the family's 1533-position model. The record is from RNAcentral.